AGAGUUUGAUCCUGGCUCAGGAUGAACGCUGGCGGCGUGCUUAACACAUGCAAGUCGAACGAUGACCUCCAGCUUGCUGGGGUGAUUAGUGGCGAACGGGUGAGUAACACGUGAGUAACCUGCCCUUAACUCUGGGAUAAGCCUGGGAAACUGGGUCUAAUACCGGAUAUGACUCCUCAUCGCAUGGUGGGGGGUGGAAAGCUUUUUGUGGUUUUGGAUGGACUCGCGGCCUAUCAGCUUGUUGGUGAGGUAAUGGCUCACCAAGGCGACGACGGGUAGCCGGCCUGAGAGGGUGACCGGCCACACUGGGACUGAGACACGGCCCANACUCCUACGGGAGGCAGCAGUGGGGAAUAUUGCACAAUGGGCGAAAGCCUGAUGCAGCGACGCCGCGUGAGGGAUGACGGCCUUCGGGUUGUAAACCUCUUUCAGUAGGGAAGAAGCGAAAGUGACGGUACCUGCAGAAGAAGCGCCGGCUAACUACGUGCCAGCAGCCGCGGUAAUACGUAGGGCGCAAGCGUUAUCCGGAAUUAUUGGGCGUAAAGAGCUCGUANGCGGUUUGUCGCGUCUGCCGUGAAAGUCCGGGGCUCNACUCCGGAUCUGCGGUGGGUACGGGCAGACUANACNUGAUGUAGGGGGAGACUGGAAUUCCUGGGUGUANCGGUGAAAUGCGCAGAUAUCANGAGGAACACCG
This 694-nucleotide ribosomal RNA is filed under the name uncultured bacterium. Its description in RNAcentral is "bacterial SSU rRNA". It matches the Rfam family "Bacterial small subunit ribosomal RNA", at positions 8 to 711 of the family's 1533-position model. The record is from RNAcentral.